UGGGGAAUAUUGCACAAUGGGCGCAAGCCUGAUGCAGCCAUGCCGCGUGUAUGAAGAAGGCCUUCGGGUUGUAAAGUACUUUCAGUCGGGAGGAAGGUGGUAAGGUUAAUAACCUUAUCAAUUGACGUUACCGACAGAAGAAGCACCGGCUAACUCCGUGCCAGCAGCCGCGGUAAUACGGAGGGUGCAAGCGUUAAUCGGAAUUACUGGGCGUAAAGCGCACGCAGGCGGUUGAUUGAGUCAGAUGUGAAAUCCCCGGGCUUAACCCGGGAAUUGCAUCUGAUACUGGUCAGCUAGAGUCUUGUAGAGGGGGGUAGAAUUCCAUGUGUAGCGGUGAAAUGCGUAGAGAUGUGGAGGAAUACCGGUGGCGAAGGCGGCCCCCUGGUCAAAGACUGACGCUCAGGUGCGAAAGCGUGGGGAGCAAACAGG
Molecule: ribosomal RNA, 429 nt
Filed under: Chloroflexota bacterium
Lineage: Bacteria; Bacillati; Chloroflexota
Description: Chloroflexi bacterium partial 16S ribosomal RNA
Rfam family: Bacterial small subunit ribosomal RNA
Source: RNAcentral